AACAAUGGGAUUCCAGACUGGUUUAUGGCUUCAGCCUCAAGGUGACAAAAGCAGUGACUGGAUCAGGACAACACCAAGGACUUAAAACAGUGUAUGGCAGAAGUGGUCAUAAUUGAUUUUCAGAAUCAUUCUGGAAAGAGUUAUGAAAACUGUAGUUAAACUGACAACAACCUUUGGAAUCAUGGACCACUUAUUGUAAAAAUCUGAGAGGAAGGUUUUAACGUGCAAUGAUUUUUUUUUUAAAGCAAUACUGCAUACUCAUCAUUAUUUCCUAAGACAAAAAAUAAAGCUUGUUCCUUUCUCCUUUA
Sceloporus undulatus (fence lizard) is the source of this 308-nucleotide long non-coding RNA. RefSeq lists it as uncharacterized. NCBI's taxonomy places the organism in Eukaryota, Metazoa, Chordata, Lepidosauria, Squamata, Phrynosomatidae. The transcript is spliced from 3 exons. The record is from RefSeq and is a predicted model, not a curated record.